Molecule: ribosomal RNA, 492 nt
Filed under: uncultured bacterium
Lineage: Bacteria
Description: partial 16S ribosomal RNA
Rfam family: Bacterial small subunit ribosomal RNA
Source: RNAcentral
AGCGAACGCUGGCGGUAGGCCUAACACAUGCAAGUCGAACGGCAGCACAGUAAGAGCUUGCUCUUACGGGUUGCGAGUCGCGGACGGGUGAGGAAUAUAACGGAACCUACUUUUUGGUGGGGGAUAACGUAGGGAAACAUACCCUAUUACCCCAUACGACCUAUCGGUGAAAGCAGGGGAUCUUCGAACCUUGCGCGAUAUAUAGACCCGCUGUCGGAUUAGCUAGUUGGCGGGGUAAAGGCCCACCAGGGCUACGAUCCGUAGCUGGUCGGAAUGGAUGAUCGGCCACACUGGAACUGGGACACGGUCAAGACUCCUACGGGAGGAAGCAGUGGGGAAUAUUGGACAAUGGGGGAAAGCCUGAUCCAGACAUACCGCGUGGGUGAAAAAGGCCUUCGGGUUGUAAAGCCUUUUUGUUGGGAAGAAAAAGCAGCAGGUUAAUACCCAGCUGUUCUGACGGUACCGAAAGAAUAAGCACCGGCUAACUUCGUG